CGUAGCUCUGCCUCUCUCUCUCUCUCUCUCGCUCUCUCGAUGCCGACGUUCUUUCUGCGUUAUAUGUGGUAGGCUCCGACAUCGUUUUCAGAUCUGUGGCAAGGCUCCCCAAAUCGUUAUCUGUGUUGCACUCUCUCUCUUGGAGUUGGAUCUCAAGAUACUUCGCAUCGUUUUCAGAUCUAUGGAUUUAAUAUUGGGAGAAGGACCUUUCCCCAAAUGAUCAGUCUCUCCGAUUCGCCCCAGAAAUCGAUUUUAGCUCCAGUAAUGGGCAUCCACUUAGCGCUCUGUCUUUCAUGGUGGUCUGUUUCUUUGUUCUUCUCUUGUUAUAUGCUUUUGUUGUUCCAUUUGCUCAGUUCUCAUGAAAUUUCCUUGACUAAUUAGUUCCAUUAAUUAUUUGAUUGGUUGCUUAGAAAUUUGGAUAGAUAGAUAUUUCAUUUCAUGGUUAGAGUUAUCCCUAUAUGAAAGGAAGAAGCGUUCUUUAAUUAUUGGACAUUGUUCAUUUUCUAAUUCUAAAUAAGAAAAUAAAUCACCUAGUGUCUACCCAUACAAUUUUUCAAUCAGUGAAUGUACAGUAACUAGCUUUGGAAGCUUGAGGUGUUUAGAUCGAUAUUCAAAGUUACGAACUACUUUUUUUGAGCUUGAUGGUCAAUUUGGUUAUGUGAAACAUACAAUUAAUUGUGCACUUGGUCAGUUGUCUUUGUUUAGCUUAUCACUGCUCAAUGUUAAAUGGGUAUUUGCAAAAACCCAUGUGGAACGAGGUCGAGGAUUUCCAAAAGGAUCCGCCUACCUCGUGUAGUGCUGGUAUAGGCUCCUUUUACCCCUCUCUUUCAUGCUUAUAUCUCAAUUUUUAUUAUGAAAAUCCUGAUUUCCGUUUCAGAAUAUAUAAAAUGACAUGGGAUAUAGAAGGUACAUAUUGACUAGUUAAUUUUAAGGCAAAGUACUUUUGGUUGAUCAAGUGCAAUUGACGUUACAAGACAUUUAUCUAGCAAAUGAAUUUGCUGCUUUCAACUGAAAUUUUCGAGGAUGGUUUUAGUGAAGUUGCUAUUGUCCUUUCUUAUUAACUUCCCAGUAAGUGAAUGGAUACAAGUACAUUACAUCUGCAUGCUAUUUCAGUUUUUCUUGCUCUGGACUUAAUUAUUUUUUACUCCAAUCUGGAAGGCAGUUUCCUGAGCAUGCAAUCAAGGGAUUGUUGAAGAUGAACUGGCAACCUUGCAGUCCAUCGUGGUGAAGCUUAUUCUUAUUACAAGGACUUUGGGAGACAUAUUGCUAUGAACAAAGAAAAAACCAAUAGAAACAGUAGAAGCCCCAGAGUGACAUGAGCAAAUAGACUGAAUUAUCGAAGGGAAGGAGGUGCUGCUAUUCAUUGGAGAGAUUUGAGCACUUUGGAGCUUGCGUACAUCAUUGUUAAUUGAAUUUCAAGAGGGAAGGAAACACGAGAGCAUAAGUGAGAUGAUGACUGCUUACUACUUAGCUGCAUUGUGGCUACAAGAUCAAUGCUUGCCACAUUAAAAAUUCAGGCAACUCAAAUGUGGUGGCAUGUUAGAGAGGGAGAUAGGAUUUAUGAACAAGAUUUCACAAGGGAGAAGAGGGUAUGAACAAGAUUUAAUGAAAUGUGUAGUUCGGCUCCAUAAGCCAUCAUGUAUGAGAAAUUUCUGAUGAAGGGUCUCAAUGACUUUUGCAUGUUCUUAGAAGAAAUAUAUGGUGCAAUUAGCACCAAUU
Molecule: long non-coding RNA, 1719 nt
Organism: Rosa rugosa (rugosa rose)
Lineage: Eukaryota; Viridiplantae; Streptophyta; Magnoliopsida; Rosales; Rosaceae
Exons: 4
Source: RefSeq, a predicted model, not a curated record